Molecule: ribosomal RNA, 189 nt
Filed under: uncultured bacterium
Lineage: Bacteria
Description: partial 16S ribosomal RNA
Rfam family: Bacterial small subunit ribosomal RNA
Source: RNAcentral
CCUACGGGAGGCAGCAGUAAGGAAUAUUGGACAAUGGCGGCAACGCUGAUCCAGCUAUCCCGCGUGCAGGACGAAGGGGCUACGCCUUGUAAACUGCUUUAGACUGAGGCGAAAAAAUGGGAUUUAUCCUAUAUUGACGGUAUCAGUAGAAUAAGCACCGGCUAACUCCGUGCCAGCAGCCGCGGUAAU